RNAcentral lists this long non-coding RNA (217 nucleotides) under Malus domestica (apple). RNAcentral's name for it is "long non-coding RNA (MDOM_LNC004762)". Lineage: Eukaryota; Viridiplantae; Streptophyta; Magnoliopsida; Rosales; Rosaceae. The record is from RNAcentral.
UCUUGGUUGCUUGCCCCCAGUGACGGUGGUGCAGAAGGUGCAGUGUGGUUUGAGUAUUGCCGAGCAUGGUUAGGCAUUUCUUGAAGAGGCACAGGAUCAAAGGAUCCGAACACGAUCUUAGUGGUGUGCGUUGCAGCUGUGUCUUCUAGGUCGAGCUCAAUCCGCCCUUGUUGUGCCAACUUCAUGAUGAGUUCUUUUAGGAUGAAACACUUACCCA